UUAAAAUUAAAUUUGAUAAGUUUACCGUGAUAACACUAAAAUAAUAAAAUAACUUUUUCGCUAACUGUUUUUUUAUUUUUUUUGACAACAUCUAAAAUGUUGUUUUCACUCGUAAAGGUAGUUUUGGCCUAGUGGGUUCCAUAACUGAUUGGUCAGAAAUUUAAAGUUCUCCUUUUCUUUUUCACAAUCAAACGCUAAACUCUAGAACGUCUCAUCCAAAAUUCCAAAUGUCGUUUUAGUGACCAAUUACACAACUAAAAUUCCUUAAAUGGGAAAUCUUUUAAUUACUUACUAAACUAGCAAUUCUUCUGGUUUCCCGCGCUAAGCAUACAACACCUUUGUGGAUUCAAUCGUAAAUCUAACCGUCUCAACUAGCGUUCAACAAUCAUUAGCAAUGACGGAAACCCCAAAAAAAGUAUAUUCAUUCAAUAGGAAAUCAUUGUUACAAGUCCAUUUUAACUCGUUAUAAUUCCAUAAAUAUCCAAAAAUAAUACAGCGAAAACCUGAUCGGAGGAUUCAUUAUGAGGGACGGCGUAUGAAUUUCGAAUGUCGACGGUACCAUCGGGUAGGACGGAUCCGAGAAGCGUGCCAAUGACACGUUCGGCUUGGUCAGGCCGCCUCACGUAGCAAUCGCAGAUGUUGAAGAUCACCAAAGGGUGCACUUUCGCCGAAAGGCUCGUCGACGAUGGCGUUGGCGUGAAUUGAAGGA
Molecule: unclassified non-coding RNA, 709 nt
Filed under: Hevea brasiliensis (rubber tree)
Lineage: Eukaryota; Viridiplantae; Streptophyta; Magnoliopsida; Malpighiales; Euphorbiaceae
Source: RNAcentral